GAUGAACGCUGGCGGCGUGCCUAAUACAUGCAAGUCGAGCGAACAGACGAGGAGCUUGCUCCUCUGACGUUAGCGGCGGACGGGUGAGUAACACGUGGAUAACCUACCUAUAAGACUGGGAUAACUUCGGGAAACCGGAGCUAAUACCGGAUAAUAUAUUGAACCGCAUGGUUCAAUAGUGAAAGACGGUUUUGCUGUCACUUAUAGAUGGAUCCGCGCCGCAUUAGCUAGUUGGUAAGGUAACGGCUUACCAAGGCAACGAUGCGUAGCCGACCUGAGAGGGGGAUCGGCGACACUGGAACUGAGACACGGUCCAGACUCCUACGGGAGGCAGCAGUAGGGAAUCUUCCGCAAAGGGCGAAAGCCUGACGGAGCAACGCCGCGUGAGUGAUGAAGGUCUUCGGAUCGUAAAACUCUGUUAUGAGGGAAGAACAAAUGUGUAAGUAACUAUGCACGUCUUGACGGUACCUGAUCAGAAAGCCACGGCUAACUACGUG
Molecule: ribosomal RNA, 497 nt
Filed under: uncultured bacterium
Lineage: Bacteria
Description: partial 16S ribosomal RNA
Rfam family: Bacterial small subunit ribosomal RNA
Source: RNAcentral